UACGUAGGGUGCGAGCGUUGUCCGGAAUUAUUGGGCGUAAAGAGCUUGUAGGCGGUUUGUCGCGUCUGCUGUGAAAGCCCGGGGCUUAACCUCGGGCGUGCAGGCGAUACGGGCAAUACUUGAGUGCUGUAGGGGAGACUGGAAUUCCUGGUGUAGCGGUGAAAUGCGCAGAUAUCAGGAGGAACACCAAUGGCGAAGGCAGGUCUCUGGGCAGUUACUGACACUGAGAAGCGAAAGCAUGGGUAGCGAACAGGAUUA
This 258-nucleotide ribosomal RNA is filed under the name uncultured prokaryote. RNAcentral describes it as "partial 16S ribosomal RNA". It matches the Rfam family "Bacterial small subunit ribosomal RNA", at positions 524 to 780 of the family's 1533-position model. The record is from RNAcentral.